CGAGGAUUUAUAAGGACACAAACUUCAGUAGAAUGUUUACACCUCAGCCAGGAGAUAUAAUGACAAUAAAGAUAAUGAAGAAGUACCCACAAGGCGAUGCAGUGAUUCUGAAGUCGGGAGGCAGAUUCUCAGUUGUUCAGGUGUUGUUUUAUUUUGUCUUCACAACUUAAAAGUUUUUUGCAUGCAUUCUUUUAUUUCAAAUGUUACAUUAAAAUGGAGGUGGUGAGGCUGGAGAGGUAGGCAGAGAUCAGACUUUGCCAGGACUAAAUGUUAGGCCACAUUAAUAAACGAGUCUUCAUCUUAAGACCAAAUGAAGGUUUUUCACAUGACAAUAAACUUAAAUUUUCAAAGGAUCACCUGGAUGCAGUGAGACAAAAGGUUCUGGCUCUGUGAAGCUGAGUAGAUGAGGAGACACAGUUAAUCAGUAGUCCUGGACUCAGAUGCUAUCACUGGAGAUGGAUGGAAGUGGAUAAAAAUAAGGUCAGGAGGAAUUAGUGGUAGAAGGAGUAUGAGGCAUGAGGUAGCAAGAGGGCUUAAGGAUAAAUCUGAGACAUGGUGCUUAUACAGCGGAUGUGUUGCGGUUGUUCACUAAGAUAGAAAAUGCUGGCAGGGAACCUGGUUCAGUCUCCAGCAUGCUGAACUUGAGGUGCCUUUGAAAUAUCCUAGUGGAGAUUAUCAGGAAGGUAAUCAGAUGUAGAAGUCUGGAGCUCAGAGGAGAAACCUGGCAUGGCAAUCAGAUAGUAGAACAGAAUGGCAAAAAUGCCAAUUUCUAAGGUAAUGUUCUAGCCUAAAACAGUAUUUAAGAAAUGUAAAUUAAGAAAAAUACAUAUUAUGAGAUAUAUAUAUGUAUAUGUAUACAUACACACACAUACACAUAUAAGAUCUCUUAAAUUCAACUCAGUGAUAGCAUUCUACUGUCUUCAUUAUUCCUUCGGUUUUAAAAUAGUGAAACAACAUUCUAAGUGCAAGACAUUAGCAUUAACCAGUAAACAUACUCUCCUUAACCAGUUUAUCAGAUUAGUCAACUAAUAAUAUAUUGGAGGCUGGAAGGAAUAAUGAAAAAAUAUAUUUACAUUUUGUACUCAAGCAACAGGAACUUCAAGUUAUCCUGAGGGACAAAAAUGUCCUCAAGACAAUACUUGGGGCUACAAGGCAGAAUUUAAGAGGAGUUAGUUCAACAAAUGAAUGCAACCAGAAUCUUUUAUAAUAAUAAUAAAUAUAAUAAAGGAGGCAAUAGUUUUAGACAAUGAAAUACAAAAAGAAAUAUAUAAGUAAUAAAUGAAAAAUAUGCUCACUUCUAGCAGCUCAUUUAAUUAAAAUAGUUUAGGUUGCAUUGUUAGUUCAAGGACCACGCUGUCUGCAAACAAUCACAAAACCCACAGGUUAAUAUAUCUUUUGUUUUACUUUAGCAGCUUAAAAGAGUAAUGUGGACAAAAGACUUUGGGUUUUCAUUUUUCAAGAAGCUAAUAAAGGAAAAAUGGAAAAUAAGUUCACCUUGCCUUUUUAAAGAUAAUAUCGUAGGUAAAUAAAAAUUUUAAUAGAGGUUUUCUUAUACAUUUUUAUGAACAAUAAAGAUUUCUUCAGAAGAAAAACAGCUAAAUAACAAGUGGGUGUGUGUGCACGCAUGGGCGUGCGCACAUGUACGCAAGUACAUAAAAAAAGAAAAAUAUUCAUAAAACUAAAACUAAGAAUUGUUCAGAAGUCCCACAGCAAUCAAAUGAUUUGGUCUGUUUAACUUUGCAAGCACUGAAAAAAACUGACAGCUACCAUAACACCAAGCUGUCUCCAUUUUUAAACGGUGAAGGUAAAUUAUUCUGAUGAUUUACACUGUCAUAUAUUUCCUACUACUACAAUCAAUGCAUGAAAGCUUAGCAAACCUCACUUCAUACUGGGAAAUCCUCAAAUGGCAAACCCCACCUUGCACAACUUUAGCCUUUACUCUUAGCUCUAAAUAACUCAAGCAUCCCUUAAUUCUCUGCUCAGUUUUACUGCCCCAAUGAGGCCGGCCCUGUUUGCUCAUUCUCAAGUGGGUAGCUGCCUCUCUCCUAAUACACUGUUCUUUUCCUUAUACCAGUGGUCAACUUAGUAUGUUUAUUUGUUCAAUCUGUCUUCCCAGCACAGUAUAAGCCGCAGAAGGGAAAUAGUCAUGCCUGUUUUAUCUACUAAGAGCAACACAUAUGUUAGGGACUUAGUAAAUAUUUAUUAACUGAAAAUGAAUGAAUCAAUGAUGACUGAGUAGUUGAGUAAAAUAAGUCAGAGAACUAUGAAAAAAUAUAUAUUAUAACGUUCAUUAAAAAGUUCUGUGGGUGCAGACACUGUGAAAAUGAAUGAAAUAUUCCUCUGAGAAUUUCUCAAGGAAUACCUUAUAAUACACCUGUCGAGUGUAAUAAUUUCUUACAUAAGGAAUAUCGCCAGGUUUCAGAGUGCCAUCUACGAAGUCCAUUUGAAUCUUAAGACAAUUCAAAAUGGAAAAUCAGGGGAAAACUCCUUAAAAAAUAAACAUCCCUACUAAACAAAAUGAUUUGCAAACACACACAGAUUCGAUAUCACACAUACAAAAGAAAUAAUAAAUGUGGAAUGAAUAAAUGCCUAAUAUUCCUACAACCCUUUUCUUCACAGUUUUAUUUAUAUAUUUAUUUUUAAUUUUUUUGUCUUUUCGUUGUUUUAGGGCCGCACCCACGGCAUAUGAAGGUUCCCAGGCUAGGAGUCGAGUCAGAGCUAUAGCUGCCAGCCUACCCCACAGCUCACAGCAACGCUGGAUGCUAAACCAACUAAGCCAGGCCAGAGAUUGAACCUGUAUCCUCAUGGAUACUAGUCAGGUUCAUUUCCACUGAGCCACAUUGGGAACUCCUUCUUCACAGUUUUAAAUGUAGACAAAUAACAUGAAUUUACAUACAACACUUCAAUAUAAUUACCAUUUUUGAACUUUGGAGCAGUAUUAGGAUACAGAAUUUUUGCCAGUAUAUUUGCUUCUAUGGACCUAAAAGCAGUUUAGAAUGUUAGGAACAAAGAAUCUUCAAUUUAAAACAUUCACAAACACCAAAAAAAAAACCCAGCUUACACCACAAAAACACACAUUUUCCCCUAAUUAAUUCACCACAGUGAUUCAUUUUUUGUUUGUUUGUUUUUUGGGUUUUUUGUUUGUUUGUUUGUUUUUGCUUUUUAGAGCCGAACCCAAAGCAUAUAGAGAUUUCCAGGCUAGGGGUCAAAUCAGAGGUACAGCUGCUGACCUCAGCCACAGCUAGAGCAACAGCAACUGGGAGUGGGGAGGGCACUAAGGCCAUCCCAGCUGCUGUGUCUGCAACUUACACCACUGCUCACAGCAAGAUCAGAUCGCCCAUCCACUGAGCAAGGCCAGGGAUUUAACCAGCAUCCUUAGGGAUAUUAGUUGGAUUCCAUGGGAGUUCCUGGAGGGGGGCAGAAUUUUUAUUACAAAGAACAAUCACUUAGUUACAUAUGAAUGCAGGAGCCAUCACCCUGGGAGACCACAGUUCAGUGGGAAAGCAACACAGCACAGCAGAGAUGGCCUGGAAAGGCAGGUUUCGAAGUCGGCCCCAACUCUCUUGGAGAUGAUCACCUGUCCAAACCAACUCAUUUCUUUCUCCCUCCCUCUUCCUUUUUCUUCUUCUCCUGCCUGUGAUUUAUGGCUUUCAAACUAUAUAUCAGAGCCUUAGAUAUGGCAAACACUCAAUAACUUAAUAUUAUAAGAACCAGGAGGAAUGGAGAGGCAGGAAAGCACUACAUGCAAGCUUGUAGGGAAAGAUAAAACAGGCAGGGGUGAAUUCCAGGGUCAGUCUAGGAACAGAAUUCCGGCAGCUGAUGUCUUUUAAGCCCCCAUCCCAAAUGACCUAAAAGUAGGAUUUAGGUGAUAAAGAUCUCUUAGAAGGUAAAAUAUCCAUGUAAAAAAAUAGCUUUUAAGAUAUAAGCUGAGAUGAAAGCCGACCCAAUAAAGACAUGUUACAUAAAAAAAUUAUUCUAAUGUGGUAGGUAGAAAAAAUCAAGGUUCUGCAAUCAGACAGACCUAGUUUGAGUCCAAAUUUUGCCACUUAUGAGCUGAAUGACCUUAAUGAAGUUCUUUACAUUCUCUGAGUUUUAAUUUUCACCUUUACAACAACCUUUCAGAAUUAUUCUGAAAAUUAAAUGGGAAUCUGUGUAAUGUGCCUGCCAUAAUUACAAUAACUAGAGCUUUCAUGAUCAGAGUGAAGGAGGCAGAGAGAAGAUCAAGAGGUCCACCCCCCGCAGCUGAAGAAGAUGGAUCAAGCUGGUUGUCACUUUGCCCAAAGCAGCAACAGCCCUUCUAGUGCCUCAGCCUCAGAACAUCCUCCUCAUAUGCAAAUCUGGACUCAGUCCAGGUCUCUGCCAAUUGGAAUUUCAAUGACUGGUUCAAGUCCACGUUAAAUUCAACAUUAGCCAAUAGCCAAUUUGCGAUCCAAGCUACAGCUGUGAGUGAAAACUACCUCCUGUCCCUGAAACCACCUCCCUCCUUUAUUUUCUUUACACAAAUAGACUUUAUUAUGUAUGGCAUUCAGGAUGAUCAGACCUCGAGCCAACAUUCAAUAUCCUAGGCACUAAUUUCAACAAGGCCUAAUUUAUGCAAAUUAAACACUAAACCACUUUCCACUGUUAAUUUUCACAGACGUUUAAUACCAUUUGAAUGUAAGGUUCUGACACUUAAUGACAAGACAAAGACAAAUUGUGUAAGAAUGAUCAACACCUUCUUGGUUAAAUCUACUAUAUUUAUCAAAAUCUGGAAAACAAAAAUAACACUCUCUCUUAAGGCAAAGGUUCUAAAAUUAGGUCUAGAUGAUUAUAGUUGAAAACAGACCACUCAGGACACAACGUAUCAACCUGGUAAGACCAACUCUUUUUGUAAUCUUUCUCUCUGAUGAGCCUCUAUGAAAUUCAGAAAACUUUAUCUUCCACAUUUUCAACUGCUUAUUUUCUUACUGCCAAGUACCAUCAAUUUGGCAAGUAGCUGAGAGCAGUAAUCACUGGAGAAAGUGUAGGAGAAAAAAAAAAAAUGAGCCAAAUCAAGUGAUUUUGUUUCGAUAGUCUAUUUAAUCUGCACAAUGAGUCAGCCCACAUGUUCCUACAAAUAUAAUUAAGUAUAUUUUGUAAUUUUUGCUUAAAAAAGAGGUCUUGCCUAUAAUAAAACACUUUGUGUCCUCAAGGAGGAGUGGGAGAAGCAGUUGCUAAGGUAGGAGUUUGGGAUUAGCACCUUAUUUUCACAAUAAUGAAUGUUUUGACUUCAACAAUGAAUAGAUUUCCUUAUAAUACAAUCAAAAUUCAAUUUGAAUAAAAUUUUGGUAGCAGCUUCUAAGGAAACAAGAUAUAUCAAAAACAUAGAAUGCUUCCUUAAGGACACACAGUUACUGCUAUGUUUCCAUGUCUUCUGGUCCAAAAUCAAUGCCACACUAGGCCAUAAGGAACACCUGCUUGCCAGUUGCACUUACACUGAAACUCAUCAUUUAAAAUCUAUUCUUCUAGAAAGAGCAAUGUAAUAACUUGACUUACUUAAGUUCGUUAUUUGAUUCAGAUAUAUAGUCUAACCACGGUUUGGACAGCAUUUAACACAUAGGGGGAAAGGCUGUUUGAUUAGAAUUACAGAUGUUUACAACAUGGCCAAUUUUUAAAGGAAGGACAGAAACUACAGUCAAUUAUUAGAUACAGAGUCACACCUGUUGUCUGUCAUGUUUCAAACCCCUAGGUGUGAGAUUUAGUCAAGGCAAAUGAAAAUGAGGAAGGAUCAGCUGCAAAGCAUGAUUUUCUUCUCCUCCGGUAAUUAAAAGGAAAAAGUGCACAAUGUGUUGUCUCUAUGACAAUCCCAUUAUUUCAUGUCAGGGGCAGCUCCAUUUUCUUUUAACAUAUUUGUGUUGCUGUCAAGUCUGUUGUAAAGGCUAGCGCUCACAGGUCUAGGCUAUGGACGUAAUUUACAGUACUGAUAGUCACUCCAAUUAGCUUUGCUAAAUUUCUCCCUGAAGCGUGCUGCUUUGAUGUCAGAAGAAUUAAACAUCAUCAUUCCCAUUCCAGCUCCCACUCCUAAGUCUCUGCCACAAUGAACUGCUUAUCAGCAUCACAUUAGACGUCAGACACACUCGCACCUUAUGUUUUAUAAACACUAAAUGCUUUUAAAAUGUAACCCAUGAGCCCCUAAAAUACCUGUGGUACAAUAACAAUAACUGCGCAUAUCUGGCACAGGUCAAUUCUAUAGCGUGAUGUGCACAUUCUUGCCUAAAACAUUAAAGUAACAAUAUCUUAUGUUUUUGUGUUUUAAUUAGACAAACAUCUAAUUCAUAUUUGUAUCUUAUUUUCUAAAAACUAUGAAUUUAAUAUGCUUUUGAACACUACCAAUGAAAGUAUAUUCAUCUACAAUAUCUGUUAAUAUACUUUAAGUCUCCACAGGUGUGCCUUGUUUGAGGAAAAUAAACAAUAAUUCCAAUUUAUAAAUAGAUCUUUGCAAAAAAGAGGCCACAUUAAACACAUUCAGCACUGUUUUCUGUUAUGUAUCAAAUUGAAAAUAAUGAUCGACUCUAUAAAAACUAUCUCUACGCAAGACACUGAAUAGAAGGCGAAGAUGAAAUACAUAAACUUUGGAGCUAGACAGACACAGAUGUAAAUUCUGGCUCUACAACUUACGAGCUGUGUGAUUUGAGGGUAAGUCAUUUAACAGUUUUAAGUGUUAAGUUUCUCAUCUGUAAAAAUGGAGAUAGUAUUUCAAGUUAAAUAACAGGUGUAAAGUGUCUAGAAAAAAAUGUAUAAAAAUUAAUGCCAACUUAGUCUACUUACAUGAAAUGAUCCUUACCAACAGAGUAUAACUGACUACAGCAGAAUUUAUGAAUCAAGGAAGCAAACUGCUACUUAUUAUGGCAGUUCUAGUUAAAGACCAAGGUCUAGUCAAAUGUAUACUCUUUUACUUUUAUCUUUAUAUAUAAGUACAAAGUGCAUACUAUAUUUAUCUAAAUCUAUACACACGCAGAUACAUGUAUACACAUAUAUACACACACAUAUAUCUUUUCCACGAAGGAGAAAACUGUAAUAUUUUCUAUGUCUCCAGAUGAUUUAUGGAACCAAAUAACUUGAAACAAAAUAAAUACCCUUUAGUGGAGACAAAAAAAUUGUUACGGUCAAUGAAAAGAGGCAUUUGCAAAUAUCGCUUAGGUAUCUGAAGCCUGUGGCAAAAAUGUAUUAAAUUUUAAAGUGUCUUCAUAUUUUAUAUGGAAAGUAUGCUGCAUCUGACCCAACCAUGAAACAUGCCCUUAACCAGUCUAUGAAAUAAGUUUUCUUUCCAGAUCAUGAAGAAGUAUUCACUGAGAGUGUUGUGUGUUGUAGAACUGCUGUUUUUUUAAAGUGGAGGCUAAAGGGAAAAGAAUAAUUCAGAAAAUAGAAUAUUUGUUUUCCCUACCAUAAACUUUUGCUGAACACACUUUAGGGAAAUAGAGACCACAAAAUAGAGCAAGAGGAGGACAGGUGUAUGUUGCUCAGCUCCCACUCAGAUCAGCAAUAAAUCAAUCC
This 7512-nucleotide long non-coding RNA is filed under the name Sus scrofa (pig). RNAcentral's name for it is "lncRNA (ENSSSCG00040019194.1)". The record is from RNAcentral. Lineage: Eukaryota; Metazoa; Chordata; Mammalia; Artiodactyla; Suidae.